This 1593-nucleotide long non-coding RNA is filed under the name Rattus norvegicus (Norway rat). Its description in RNAcentral is "long non-coding RNA NONRATT019747". Lineage: Eukaryota; Metazoa; Chordata; Mammalia; Rodentia; Muridae. The record is from RNAcentral.
AAGGCCCCUGCAGUACUCGGUCAUUGAGUAGCUUCUGUGGGAACACUUACCUUCAGGCCCCAUGAACACUGUUGUGGAAUUCUUGUCAUUUUGGAAGUCUUUCACUUUUGUCUUUUUCAGUCAUAACAGAACCCAGGGCCACAACCCAGGUCCCAGAGGUCCUGUCUCACUCCCACAGCUGUCUCUUCAUAAUGUCAUUUGCUUCCACAAGCCCUCAGACUCGGAGUGAGAAAUUCAAUUGGAGGUAGCAAAUAAUUUGAACUUCUUGUACCCUAAUGAUUUUAUCAACCCCAUGCCCAGGUUGACAGCAACAGUUCAUGUCUGUUUCUGUUUUACUUAUCUGUUUAGUCCAUGGGUCUUGGGUUGGUUGGUAAUAGCUCUGGUUAGAGACCUAAGAGCUGGGAGUAGGGACUCUGGCAACCAUGCUUGAUUAGACUUAGCAGCUCUUGUUAUUUGGGGUGGAAAAUUGAAAUGAUCAAGUUUGGUGUUUCCUUUUGUCAGUUAGAAAAGCAAACAUUGUGUUUUCAUAAUAAAUGUCUUUUAACAAAAUUACUAAGGGUCACUCAUCUGGUGAGACCCUCCUGAGAGACACUCGUCACGCUAGUAUUAGUAGGUCAGCCAUCUGUGAUAAAAGUGUCCCUAAUUACCCCAAAGUGUGGUAAGAUUCUUUGGGCUCAUGCAGGGUCUGGCCAGUACCCUUCUCCACAUGCUGAUUUCUGGAUGUCCAUGAAGAAGGAAACUGAUGUUUAUAGUCUUAUUGUAUAGACUUUCAUGCUGUAAAAAAAAAAUUAGUAACCCCACAAAAUUAGGACUUUUUAAAAAUAGCCAGACCUGCAGCAGACUGAAGAAAGGAAGUGCAGCCUGGUGAGUGACUCUUACAGUGUCUUCAGCAGCCAAGCAGGCAUUUCCUGAGAGCCCCGGGAUGGACUCUGACUCUGCAGUGUGGCUGUUUAGUAGGACCCUUAGCCUUACACAGCUCCAGAGAGCCAUGCAAACCCUGUCUUCCUGACCGUCCUCAGGUGUCCCUUCCUUUCCUCCACUGACCUGUGGUGGAGGUUUGAUGAGCCCUCUAAACCUUCCUCUGUGUCUUAUAUGUAGCUGUAUCACUCCAUACUUACUGAAGGGGAUGUCGCAUCUAAGGGAAACUCAUCAAGAGAUGCCCAGAUGCUAUGUAUGUGAUGUACACAGUAAGCAAGCAUUUCCUUAGUGUCAGGUCUACAGUAUGUAGUAUGUGUAAAUAGGGGGCAAUUUGAUAGAGAUGUUGAAUUAAGUUAUAUAGCAUGUCAUUUGAUUGUUUUGCGGUCUCUUGUUACUUCCCAAUGCUGCACAUCUAGGUUGUUCUGAGGGGUGUGUGAUCUGCUCCCCCUUGUCAGGAGUGUACAUGUACACCAGGGACAUGGUACACUCCACAAAGGCAGCCCUGCUUGGAAAACUCUUAGCUCCAUAAUGGUGCCACUCAACUCCAGCUCACUCUUUUUCGUUCUGAUUUACUGUGAUGAUUCGAUGAAUGAGAAACACAGCACCCUAGGUGCUACGUGUUUCUGACAUUCUCAUAGUCUGUAGGAAAAUAAAAGUUUAUCCCACCAUCUAAUA